CCUACGGGAGGCAGCAGUGAGGAAUAUUGGGCAAUGGGCGAAAGCCUGACCCAGCAAAGUAGCGUGAAGGAUGACUGCCUUAGGGGUUGUAAACUCUUUUUAUAAAGGAAUACAGUGGGGCACGUGAGCCUUUUCGACUGUACGGUAUGAAAACGGAUCGGCAAACCCCGGUACAGCAGCCGCGGUAAUACGGAGGUUCGGAGCGUUACCCGGUUUGUUUGGGUUUAAAGGGAGCGUAGAGGGGUUGUUAAGUCAGGUGUGAAAGUUUGCGGCUCAACCGUAAAAUUGUAAUUGAUACUGGCGACCUUGAGUGCAGUUGAGGUAGGCGGAAUUCGUGGUGUAGCGGUGAAAUGCAUAGAUAUCACGAAGAACUCCGAUUGCGAAGGCAGCUUACUGGUCUGCCACUGACGUUGAGGCUCGAAAGUGUGGGUAUCAAACAGGAUUAGAUACCCGAGUAGUC
Molecule: ribosomal RNA, 460 nt
Filed under: uncultured bacterium
Lineage: Bacteria
Description: partial 16S ribosomal RNA
Rfam family: Bacterial small subunit ribosomal RNA
Source: RNAcentral